GACGAACGCUGGCGGCGUGCUUAACACAUGCAAGUCGAACGGAAAGGCCCUGCUUUUGUGGGGUGCUCGAGUGGCGAACGGGUGAGUAACACGUGAGUAACCUGCCCUUGACUUUGGGAUAACUUCAGGAAACUGGGGCUAAUACCGGAUAGGAGCUCCUGCUGCAUGGUGGGGGUUGGAAAGUUUCGGCGGUUGGGGAUGGACUCGCGGCUUAUCAGCUUGUUGGUGGGGUAGUGGCUUACCAAGGCUUUGACGGGUAGCCGGCCUGAGAGGGUGACCGGCCCCGUCGCGACUGGGAUACGGCCCAGACUCCAACGGGACGCAGCGGAGGAGAAUGGUGCACUAGGGGCGGAAGGCAGCUGUAGUAAAGCCGCGUGCGGGAUGUGGGCCAGCGGGUUGUAAUGCGAUUUCGUCUCUGCUGAAGAGUGAGUGACGGUAACGGGUGAAGAAGCCCCGGCUAACUCCGUG
RNAcentral lists this ribosomal RNA (468 nucleotides) under uncultured bacterium. RNAcentral's name for it is "partial 16S ribosomal RNA". It matches the Rfam family "Bacterial small subunit ribosomal RNA", at positions 28 to 507 of the family's 1533-position model. The record is from RNAcentral.